This 2573-nucleotide ribosomal RNA is filed under the name Vertebrata lanosa. Its description in RNAcentral is "large subunit ribosomal RNA". It matches the Rfam family "Bacterial large subunit ribosomal RNA". The record is from RNAcentral. Lineage: Eukaryota; Rhodophyta; Florideophyceae; Ceramiales; Rhodomelaceae.
GAAAGGUUAAUCACAAAAUAACUGGUUAAGGAAUUAAAAUAUUUAAAAAGGCAUUUAAUAGAGUAUUUGGUAAAUUAAAAUUUAGGGACGUUUCGAAUCGAAAAUUACAAUGAAGUUUACACUUGUGAUUUGUAAAUUUCCUUGUUAAAAAACUAUAAAUUAAAAAUUUUGUGAAGUGAAUCAUCUUACUAACAAAUUAAGAAAAUCAAACGAAAAUUUAUUAGUAGCGGUGAGCGAACUAAAAAAACUAUUUUUUUUUAGCUAAUUAAAUUUUAAUAAGGUAAAAAUCCUGUUAAUUAAUUAUAAAAAAAAUCAAAAAAGUAAAAGUGGAAAUUUAAAACCUCAAGAAUAAAGGAGUGCCACCUUCUAAGUUUUAAAAAUAAUUUAACCAAUAGUAAAAGAGUACUGUAAAAAAAAAUUGAAAAAAAUUGAAAAAAAUUGAAAAAAAUUGAAUGUCUAAAAAUUACUUGAAGUAAAAAUUAUACGACAAGAUGCUUUUUGCAGAACGAACCAACAAGUUAAAAAUUAUAGCAAAAAAUAAAAUAAAAGGUAAAUAAAUUAAAAAGUUAUAAUUAUUAAACCUGAAACCAAGUGAUCUAAUUAUGGAUAAGUUGAUUUUAAUAUAACAAUUAAAUAAAGACUGAACUUUAAUAUGUAGCAAAAUAUAAAGAAAAUUUGUAAUUAGGAGUGAAAGUCUAAUCAAACUUGGUUAUAGCCGGUUUUUCACGAAAUGUAUUUUAGUACAGCAUUAAUUUUUAUUUAUUAAAGUAAAGUAAAAUAAUUUUUAAAAUAAUUUUUAACUUUCAAAUUUAAUUAAUAAAAAAUUAUAGUCAGUUUAAAGGCGAUAAGGUCUUUAAACUAAAGGAAAACAAUCCAGAUUGUUUUGUUAAGGUAUUAAAUUAUAGUUUAGGAAAAGAUUAUUUAAAAUUUAAAUAUAAAAAUAGACUUAGAAGCAGUUUUUUAUUAGAGAAAGCGUUUUAGCUCAGUAUUUUUUUUUAAAUAAUUAAAAAUUUUCGAUAUUAAAUUAUAAACCGAAACAGCAAAUAUAUUAUUAUCAAUUUAAUGUAAGGUAGUGAAACGUUUUGUAAGCAAAAUAUUUAAAAAGAAAAAUCAAUAAAAUAAUAUUUUCUUAAAUAAACAAAAUCGAUAAUGUUGGUAUGAGUAACGAAAAAUUAUGUUUAAUCAUAAUCAUUUAAAAGUAGGUUUUCAAUGUAAUUUUAAAUUCAUUGAGUGAGUCGGUUCCUAAGAAACAACUGAAAAGUUUAUUUUGAUGGAAAAAGUUUAAAAAUUCUAAUUGUGUUGUUACUAAAAAAAAAAAAAUUAAUUUUUUUAAAUAUUAAAAAUAAAAAUUAAUUUUUAUUUUCGAGAAAAAAUCAAUUAAAAAAACCGUACUAAACCCGACGCUGGUCUUAAAAAUUAUGUUUGAAUUAAUUAUAUUAAAGGAACUUGGCAAAUUUUUUCUGUAUGUUAGCUAUAAAGAAAACCUAAAUAAUAUUUUUAGGUAACAUAAUAAAAAAGCAACGACUGGUUAACAAAACCACAGAACUCUGCAAAUUUUUAAAAAGAAGUAUAGAGUUUGAAGCCUGCCCGGUGCUUAAAUACGAAAUUUUUAUUAAUAACAAGUAAAAUAUAAGUUUAAGUAAACGGCGGUUCUAACUAUAAGAAUCCUUAGGUAGCGAAAUUCCUUGGCGGGUAAAUUCCGUCCUGCAUGAAUGGCUUAACGAUUGCUUUACUGUCUCUAAUAUAAAUUCAGUGAAAUUACAAUAUUCAUGAAAAUGUGAAUUACUUACAAUAAGACGGAAAGACCCUAGAUCCUUUACUUUUAUUUUAUAUUACAAACAGUUAUUAUUAAAUUCAGUGUAAAUGGAAGUUAAUAACUAAAAUGAAAUACCAUUUUCUUAAUAAUUUUUUGUUUAAUUUUAUUUUCAAAAACAGUGUAAAAAAGAAAGUUUACUUGGGACGAGUACCUCCUAAAAAGUAACGGAGGUGUGCAAAGGUAAAAAAUUAGUUCUAUAAUAAGUUAAUUUUGCUUGACAAUUAAAUUAAUAAAUUAAAUUGGGACGAAAGUCAGUUAUAGUGACCCAAAUUUAAGAGUGGAAUUAAAUUUGUUCAACAGCUAAAAGGAACUCUAGGGAUAACAGAUUCAUCAUGAUUAAAAGUUCAUAUUAAAAUCAUGGUUUGAUACCUCGAUGUCGACUCAUCUUAUCCUGAAAUUGAAAACGAUUUCAAGGGUCUAGUUGUUCGCUAGUUAAAAAGGUACGUGAGUUGGGUUCAGAACGUCGUGAGACAGUUCGGUCCCUAUCUAUUGUAAGAAAAAAAAAUUUAAAGAAUUAUUUUUAGUACGAGAGGACCAAAAUAUAUUAACCAAUGGUGAAUUGAUUUAAACUUAAUUUAAAAGUCAAGUAGCUACGUUAGUUUAAUUUAAAUACUGAAAAAAUCAAUAGUAUAAAAAUAACUUUUAAUAUUUUUUAGAACAUUCUUUUCGAAAAAAAGAUAGAUCGAUUUAUUUUUUAUUUUUAGUAAUAAAAAAAUUAUAAAUACGAAUUAGUCAAAAAAUUAAUUAACUUAAUCAA